This 200-nucleotide unclassified non-coding RNA is filed under the name Saxophila sp. RNAcentral describes it as "partial internal transcribed spacer 2". The record is from RNAcentral. Lineage: Eukaryota; Fungi; Ascomycota; Dothideomycetes; Mycosphaerellales; Extremaceae.
UUAAGUUCAGCGGGUAUCCCUACCCGAUCCGAGGUCAACCUUGUGUAAAGUUUUAACGGCGCGCCCGGUCGUCCUCGCCAGCGAUUUGAUGUAACCACAACGCUGAGAUUCGAACCGUCCAGCCGAUCGAUUAGAGGCGCGGAGGGACUCCGUCGCCCAAUACCAAGCCAGGCUUGAGUGGUGAAAUGACGCUCGAACGG